GCGUAUCGGUGCUGCAACGGUCAGCAUAAGCUCGCGGAAAGAGUGAGAUCUGGGUUCGAAUCCCGGCUGACGUA
This is a non-coding RNA of Parelaphostrongylus tenuis, 74 nucleotides long. The record is from the annotation of a GenBank genome assembly. NCBI's taxonomy places the organism in Eukaryota, Metazoa, Nematoda, Chromadorea, Rhabditida, Metastrongylidae.